GUGGUUGUGGCUCAAUGGUAGAGCACUUGCCUAGCAUGUGUGAGGCACUGGGUUCGAUUCUCAGCACCACA
RNAcentral lists this transfer RNA (71 nucleotides) under Marmota marmota marmota (Alpine marmot). It matches the Rfam family "tRNA". Rfam says of the family: Transfer RNA (tRNA) molecules are approximately 80 nucleotides in length. Their secondary structure includes four short double-helical elements and three loops (D, anti-codon, and T loops). Further hydrogen bonds mediate the characteristic L-shaped molecular structure. tRNAs have two regions of fundamental functional importance: the anti-codon, which is responsible for specific mRNA codon recognition, and the 3' end, to which the tRNAs corresponding amino acid is attached (by aminoacyl-tRNA synthetases). tRNAs cope with the degeneracy of the genetic code in two manners: having more than one tRNA (with a specific anti-codon) for a particular amino acid; and 'wobble' base-pairing, i.e. permitting non-standard base-pairing at the 3rd anti-codon position. The record is from Rfam by way of RNAcentral. RNAcentral also lists the same sequence under 1 other name. Lineage: Eukaryota; Metazoa; Chordata; Mammalia; Rodentia; Sciuridae.